Molecule: ribosomal RNA, 395 nt
Filed under: uncultured bacterium
Lineage: Bacteria
Description: bacterial SSU rRNA
Rfam family: Bacterial small subunit ribosomal RNA
Source: RNAcentral
AUUGAACGCUGGCGGCAUGCCUUACACAUGCAAGUCGAACGGCAGCGCGGGGCAACCUGGCGGCGAGUGGCGAACGGGUGAGUAAUAUAUCGGAACAUACCCUAGAGUGGGGGAUAACGUAGCGAAAGUUACGCUAAUACCGCAUACGCACUAAGGUGGAAAGUGGGGGAUUCGCAAGAACCUCAUGCUCAUGGAGUGGCCGAUAUCUGAUUAGCUAGUUGGUGAGGUAAAGGCUCACCAAGGCGACGAUCAGUAGCUGGUUUGAGAGAACGACCAGCCACACUGGAACUGAGACACGGUCCAGACUCCUACGGAGGCAGCAGUGGGGAAUUUUGGACAAUGGGGGCAACCCUGAUCCAGCAAUGCCGCGUGAGUGAAGAAGGCCUUCGGGUUGU